AGAUAUAAAUGGAAGGCUCUAAAAAUGCGUCAAAGAAGAAGCAAAAGCGCGGUAUCGACUUCAAGAAAAUAAAGCGAAAGAUUGGCAGAAAAUUGCCACCGGCACAGAAUGCUACAAAUACUGAAAUUAAAUCUAAAGAGUGUGGCAUCAGAGAAGGCAGGAUUAGCAGUGAACAAGAAAGGCUUGA
This is a long non-coding RNA of Rosa chinensis, 187 nucleotides long. RefSeq lists it as uncharacterized. The record is from RefSeq and is a predicted model, not a curated record. The transcript is spliced from 3 exons. NCBI's taxonomy places the organism in Eukaryota, Viridiplantae, Streptophyta, Magnoliopsida, Rosales, Rosaceae.